RNAcentral lists this ribosomal RNA (720 nucleotides) under uncultured bacterium. RNAcentral describes it as "bacterial SSU rRNA". It matches the Rfam family "Bacterial small subunit ribosomal RNA", at positions 72 to 760 of the family's 1533-position model. The record is from RNAcentral.
UCUUUAUCACCGAGUGCUUGCACUCACCGGUAAAGUGGUUGAGUGGCGAACGGGUGAGUAACACGUGGGCAACCUGCCCAAAAGAGGGGGAUAACACUUGGAAACGGGUGCUGAUACCGCAUAACCAUAGUUACCGCAUGGUAGCUAUGUAAAAGGUGGCUAUGCUACCGCUUUUGGAUGGGCCCGCGGCGCAUUAGCUAGUUGGUGGGGUAAAGGCUUACCAAGGCAAUGAUGCGUAGCCGAACUGAGAGGUUGAUCGGCCACAUUGGGACUGAGACACGGCCCAAACUCCUACGGGAGGCAGCAGUAGGGAAUCUUCCACAAUGGGCGAAAGCCUGAUGGAGCAACGCCGCGUGGGUGAAGAAGGUCUUCGGAUCGUAAAACCCUGUUGUUAGAGAAGAAAGUGCGUGAGAGUAACUGUUCACGUUUCGACGGUAUCUAACCAGAAAGCCACGGCUAACUACGUGCCAGCAGCCGCGGUAAUACGUAGGUGGCAAGCGUUAUCCGGAUUUAUUGGGCGUAAAGGGAACGCAGGCGGUCUUUUAAGUCUGAUGUGAAAGCCUUCGGCUUAACCGGAGUAGUGCAUUGGAAACUGGGAGACUUGAGUGCAGAAGAGGAGAGUGGAACUCCAUGUGUAGCGGUGAAAUGCGUAGAUAUAUGGAAGAACACCAGUGGCGAAAGCGGCUCUCUGGUCUGUAACUGACGCUGAGGUUCGAAAGC